This 500-nucleotide long non-coding RNA is filed under the name Mytilus galloprovincialis (Mediterranean mussel). Lineage: Eukaryota; Metazoa; Mollusca; Bivalvia; Mytilida; Mytilidae. The record is from RNAcentral.
GGCUGGACUUCUUUCUCAUAUCUGAUGUGUUAUUACCUUCUUUAAAAGAUUCAUAUAUAGAAUCAAGCUAUCGAUCAGAUCACUCCAUCAUAGUUUUGCAUUUAGUAUUUAAUGAUUUCAAAAGGGGAAAAGGACUCUGGAAGUUUAAUAAUUCAUUGCUAUCUGACCAAGAAUAUUUAGACACAAUAAAUGUAAAAAUUGAAGAUAUAAAAAAUCAGUAUUCUGCAAUACCACUUUCAGAAAAGCAGAACAUUAUGAAUUCAGAUUUUUUGUUAAGUAUCGAUGAUCAAUUAUUUUUGGAAACCUUGUUAAUGGAAAUAAGAGGUAAAACUAUAGCAUUUAGUAGCUACAAGAAAAGAAAAAAGAGGGACAAAAUAGAAAAUCUGACAAAAGAGAUUCAAAGGGUAGAAGAAAAUAUUAACAGCAAUACUGACUUUCAGAGUCUUGAGGAAAACAAACAAGAGCUUAAAGACAUUAGAGGGAAAAAAUUAAGAGGGAGU